GUCCCGGAUUUGGAAUGUUUAAAAGUUAACUAGUCCCUUCUCCUGCCAGAAGCAGAGCCACACCUAAACCAUGCCAGAUACGCGAGGACCUCAAGAACUCAUCUUAGGAAACAGAGGCUCCCAGAACUGAGUGACACAGAAAUUCAAGCAAACGAAGCCAACAUUCUCCCAAGAUUUCACGCUGCUGUCUUCAAGAAAAGUUAUUGGUCACGUAAGGAUGGAUUUUGGGUAGUGACUCAGCAAACUCCACACAGGGACUCGGAGCUGUUGAUUGCCAAGGGAAAUUGGCCCAAAUGACCCUAGGGUCCCUUCUCCAAAGGACUUUAGAAACCGACAUACAUAGCAAGGAAAGUUGGAGCCAGACUCAAAACAAGGGAUAAAAAAGGUAACAACAGGACAAAGAACAAUGGACAAAGGCUGGUUGGAAGAACUGAACCCAAUUGUUCUCUCACUCAGACCCUAAGGAAAUAAUAUGCCUUUAGGGAGUUUGAAAGUUUUCAUCUGGAUUACUAACACCCCCCGCCCCCCCCCCCAUAUAUUACAACACAGCCACUUGACAGCACUGCCAGUUCACCCUGUUCCUCCCCUUCUUACAAGUUAAUUUUGUCUGGUGACUCAGUUGCCACCCAUCAGAACUUGAGCAGUUCAGGGUGGAAAAUAGAGGCUGGAAGGGAAGAAAUGUCAGCAUGAGCAGUAACCCCACCCCCUCUACCUACCCUCCCUCCAUAACCUCCCUGAAGGAGUGCUUCAUGGGAUAGGGUCUCUGUGUACAGAAUGGCUGGGCUAAGAGGGGAGGGCGAAUGUUUGGGGAGAGGAUGAAAACAAGUUGGUUAUUUUAACUCCCAGUUCUUCAAAUGCAAACCCAGAGGAGUGAUUCAUGCCAAAACAAAUCUUUGCAAAUGAAAGCCCGUAUUGACAAUAACUAAAAAUAGAUAUGUAAACCCAUUCACCCCAAAUUAGCUCACAGGGCUGCUUUCUCCAUCAGUCCUCUUUUAUCAUGUUGGAAACCCUACUGGUGCUGUGGGUGAUUUAACUAUGACAUGCUGUAAUGCUGUCCACAAGAGUGGCAUUUGUGAUUUUUAAAGGAAAAAGAACAACUAUAAAAUUAUGAGACAGCCGAAAUAAAUUUCUAAAAGAUACUUUAUGGGCUACUUACACAACACUCCAAGCUGUGACAUUUUAAAGAAACUAAUUUCUCCAAUUGUUAGCUGCUCUGUCUGCAUAGAUAUUUCCCACAAGGACACCAGUCCUUUUUUUUUGGUUAUGAGAUUGACCCUUUCGUUUUCAAAAUCUAUCCUGGAAGAAACUUUGGACAAAAUGAUGAAAGCCUAGUAAACAAAAUACCAAUCAGGAGAAAAUACAGGUAUAUACCUCAAUGAGCAAAAUAUGGACUACCUUGAAAGGUUGCCCACAGGGCAAAACAUUAUGCAAUAAAUGCUUUAUUCCUAAUUCAUUUCUAUAAAGGGAGAGAUGUUGCAGAGCAGGCCACACCUGCACUGGGCUGUUUUCAAGGGGACUCCUUCCAGAAAGUGAAGGCUAUCUGCUGAUAGUUUCCCUUGGAUUAGCAGGAAGUAGGCAAUCAUCUUUAGAAGGGACCCGAUGAAAAAACUGCAGCAUGGAGUUCUCUCCAGAGUCUUGUCACCAUGGAAAGAGAGUGCUUGGGUGGGGGAAAGAAGAGAGAAGGAAACUGAGGACCUUCCCCUCCCUGGUAUUAAGAAGCACAUAGUCGGGGCAGCUAGGUGGUGUAGCGGAUAGAGCACUGGCCCUGGAUUGAGGAGGACCUGAGUUCAGAUCCGACCUCAGACACUUGACACUUACUAGCUGUGUGACCCUGGGCAGGUCACAUAGUCCCAAGACACCUAAACCAAUUUUAGGAUCCCGGCCUGACGUGGCUUCUAAGAUCAUUACUCUGGACACUGCUGCUGCCCCACAGGUACAGCAUUUGCUUGAAUGAGAUUUGAGUUGUUUUCUUACUAGUGCUUUACUGACUUGAAACUCAAAACUAAUGCAGAAAAUGGCAUGGAUUAGUAAUGGUUUUCACUUGCUGUUACAAUGUUAACAAUGACUUCAAAGGGACUAACAAGGAAACCACCCGAUUAAAAGGAAGUACACCCUAUCCUACAAUAUGAACACAGAUGUUUUAAAACUGCCCAUGAGGGGCAGCUAGGUGGCGCAGUGGAUAGAGCAGCAGCCCCUGGAAUCAGGAGGACCUGAGUUCAAAUCUGACCUCAGACACUUAACAUUUACUAGCUGUGUGACCCUGGGCAAGUCACUUAACCCCAAUUGCCUCACCAAAAAUAAAUAAAAAUAAAUAAAUAAAAGAAUUAAAACUGCCCAUGACACAAGCAACUAUAAAUGAAUCCUAUUUUACAAUAGCACCAUGUUGCUAAGCUGACCAUCUUGACAUCAGUUAAAAACACCUAAUAUGUGCCAUCACUGACUUGUGUCCUUUCAAUAAUCCUUCCUCUUAGGGAGUUUCAGUUCACAACGCUCAGGUUGGCUUAACUCUUACACAUUAGAAAGAGCUGAGUACAAUAAAAUUUCUAAUAAAACACUAGAAAGUAUAGGAAUAAAUGGAGCUUUUCUUAAAAUAAGAAGUUUCUAUCUAAAACCAAAACAGGAUAGGCCACAUGCAAACUAUCUUGGGGGAUUCCAAGGGGAGAUUUGGUUUCAGAGUUUUUCUAUCCACUUGAUUCUCCUAUGAGAAUUUAAUUUAGCAUUAAUCUAAUCUGGUGCCACAUUUUUUUUUUUUAACAUGUCAGUUAUUGCAUUUCUAGGCAUGAGUACAAGAAACAGCAUUUGAAUUGACCAA
Molecule: long non-coding RNA, 2812 nt
Organism: Dromiciops gliroides (monito del monte)
Lineage: Eukaryota; Metazoa; Chordata; Mammalia; Microbiotheria; Microbiotheriidae
Exons: 3
Source: RefSeq, a predicted model, not a curated record